UGUAAAAAUCAUUCUUCCUCUGCUCAGACUACAUCUACAACCCUAUCGAGGCCCGAAGGCAAAAGGCUGCUCGUGUGAGGGGCCAUAGGGUGAAAGGCACGAAUCCAAGGGGCCAUAAGGCAACCAACACCCUUGGGGUCAGUGGAAAAGAGGCCCAUAGCUGCCACAGUCCUGCGUCAUCAAGGAUAUUGGCAAUGGAGGAUGUUCACACCAGUCCAUGCCCUCAGUCCAUGGAUGAUGUCAGCACUGCA
Molecule: long non-coding RNA, 251 nt
Organism: Cryptotermes secundus
Lineage: Eukaryota; Metazoa; Arthropoda; Insecta; Blattodea; Kalotermitidae
Exons: 2
Source: RefSeq, a predicted model, not a curated record